CUGACUAUCCAGAAGUUGAAGAUAAACCUGAAGAACUAGCAGUUGAAGAAAAACAUGAAGAACAAGCAAUUGAAGAGAAGCCUGAAGAACCAGCAAUUAAGGAAAAAGCUGAUGAACCAGCAGUGCAAGAAAAACUUGAAGAACCAGCUGUGGAAAAGAAACCUGAAGAACCAGUGGCUACGGAGAAACCUGAAGAACCAGCAAUUAAGGAAAAAGCUGAUGAACCAGCAGCGCAGGAGAAACCUGAAGAACCAGCUGUGGGAAAGAAACCUGAAGAACCAGUGGCUACGGAGAAACCUAAAGAACCAGCAAUUAAGGAAAAAGCUGAUGAACCAGCAGUGCAAGAGAAACCUGAAGAACCAGCUGUGGAAAAGAUACCUGAAGAACCAGCAGUCGAGGAGAAAUUUGACGAACCAGCAGUUGGAGAGAAAUCAGAAGAACCAGUAGUUGAACAAACACCUGCAGGACCAGCAUGGGAAGAAACACCUAAAGAACUAGCAUUUGAAGAGAAACCUGAAGAACCAGCAGUUGAAGAAACACCUGAAGAACCAGCAGUUGAAGAAACACCUGAAGAACUAGCAGUUGAAAAGAACCCUGAAAAAACAGCAGUCG
This 612-nucleotide long non-coding RNA is filed under the name Nicotiana tabacum (common tobacco). RNAcentral describes it as "long non-coding RNA (NTAB_LNC000707)". The record is from RNAcentral. Lineage: Eukaryota; Viridiplantae; Streptophyta; Magnoliopsida; Solanales; Solanaceae.